Molecule: ribosomal RNA, 195 nt
Filed under: uncultured bacterium
Lineage: Bacteria
Description: partial 16S ribosomal RNA
Rfam family: Bacterial small subunit ribosomal RNA
Source: RNAcentral
CAACUCGCCUACAUGAAGCCGGAAUUGCUAGUAAUGGCAGGUCAGCAUACUGCCGUGAAUACGUUCCCGGGCCUUGUACACACCGCCCGUCACACCAUGAGAGUUGGGGAUACCCGAAGCCUGUGAGCUAACUAUUUAUAGGAGCAGCAGUCGAAGGUAGAAUCAAUGAUUGGGGUGAAGUCGUAACAAGGUACC